This 255-nucleotide long non-coding RNA is filed under the name Elaeis guineensis (African oil palm). Its description in RNAcentral is "long non-coding RNA (EGUI_LNC012509)". Lineage: Eukaryota; Viridiplantae; Streptophyta; Magnoliopsida; Arecales; Arecaceae. The record is from RNAcentral.
GUCCUAAUCCUCAACCAUAGCUGAGGAGCUUGUGUUUGAAGAGCCACAUGGAGAAUACAUCUCGAUCCUCGCUCGUAGCCGAGGAGCGCAUGUUUGGAGAGCCACAUGGAGAACAUGUAUUGCUCCUCGACUAUGGCCAAGAAGCGCAUGAGCUUGAGAGCCACAUAGAGAUGCAUAUCGCUCCUUGACUGUAGUCGAGGAAUGCGUGAAUCAGAGAAUCGCAUGGAGAUGCAUACCACUCCUCAAUCAUGGCCG